UUUCAGCCAAUUCAGCUGACCAGUCUGCGUGCGAGUCUAGUGCUGGUGAGCAAUGGCUGCAGACAGUAACCUCUCUGGUUCUUCCCAUCUGUACUGUGCUGGGAGGGACCAUUGAGACAUUU
Small nucleolar RNA from Acipenser ruthenus (sterlet), 122 nucleotides. RefSeq annotates it as small nucleolar RNA SNORA70. The record is from RefSeq and is a predicted model, not a curated record. The transcript has a single exon. Lineage: Eukaryota; Metazoa; Chordata; Actinopteri; Acipenseriformes; Acipenseridae.